GCUCGGAUGGUGGAAUGGUAGACACUGGGGACUUAAAAUCCCCUGAUCGCAAGGUCGUGCGAGUUCAAGUCUCGCUCUGAGCA
This 83-nucleotide transfer RNA is filed under the name Candidatus Fibrimonadales bacterium. Its description in RNAcentral is "tRNA-Leu". It matches the Rfam family "tRNA". From Rfam's summary of the family: Transfer RNA (tRNA) molecules are approximately 80 nucleotides in length. Their secondary structure includes four short double-helical elements and three loops (D, anti-codon, and T loops). Lineage: Bacteria; Pseudomonadati; Fibrobacterota; Fibrobacteria; Candidatus Fibrimonadales. RNAcentral also lists the same sequence under 1 other name. The record is from RNAcentral.